RNAcentral lists this long non-coding RNA (2060 nucleotides) under Nicotiana benthamiana. Its description in RNAcentral is "long non-coding RNA (NBEN_LNC021910)". The record is from RNAcentral. Lineage: Eukaryota; Viridiplantae; Streptophyta; Magnoliopsida; Solanales; Solanaceae.
UUUAGAUCUAGCUUGGGCAUGAAUCAACAUUUAAAUUUCUGCUAGCAAAGCAGAACUACAGCUGCGAAAUGGCAUGGAUUUGAUUCCUUUAAACCUAAAGAUAUGCAUAGGCUGCAUAUACCAAACAACCUUGGCAAGAAAACUUUGAAAACCGCCACUGCAGGAUCUUGUACUUAAAAUUGUGCAGAUUUGUCUUAUAAACAGUGCAAGAAGAGGGUAGAUUUUCAGUGGGUUGCCAGUCCAAACAAAUGUCCCAAAAUACUACCCGUAUCAGCUCGAUCUACUACUGAAAUUGAAUUCUUUAGCGACUCGAAAGAGCAAAAUUACUAUGGCCAUAACAAGGCAGAUGAAAUUUGGACAAAAGAGGGAAAAUAGAGCAAGCAUGAGCAUACAUAAUCAGCGAAACAAUUUGGCUUCAACACCCCUUUUGACCAACGCAAAACAAAAUCAAACCCGACAAGGAUGAACCAAACUUUUUCAUGGAACCCAAGUUAAAUCAGCUCAUCACUUGUACAAGUGAGAGCUACAUCAGAUGAUGCUUCAUAACAAACACAAAUCACUAGACUUUUGUCGUUUGUAACAUGUUCUGAUAAGUGUAAUUGAUCGAGCCAUAAAGCAGCAGUAAACAAAACUAAUUGGGUGACAAUUUCUUGAACUCGUAUCGAAUUAGAGAUGUACAAGAAAUUCUACAAUCGUCAAUGAAUCGACAAACAUAUGAAACACCUUAUCUAACAAACACAGGCUUGAUCAAGCCUCCAUCAUUCCCACAAAGUCGAGUAAAUUCUGCCCUCAAUCAUUGUGUUAGAUGAAGACCAGAUCAAGCGUACAACAUCCAAUUGAUACAUAGUUAAGAAGCAAAACUGAAAAUGAAGAAAAUAGCUCACGCUCCGAAAUCAAUCACGAGCUAAUCAUACCGUGACAGGAAACAACAAUAGAAAACACUUUUAGAGAACUCAUUUAAGAUGUACACAGCCAAACCAAGCCAGUAAUACGCGUAAAAAUGGAAAACAAAUACACUAUACCAACAGUCACCAAGAUUCAAAUAGUUCCAGACCAGCUGAACUCAAAUUCUCAAUACGUUUCUUAAUCAAACACCAAAGAUAGGCUACAUGGAAUUAGAAAUGAACCUGAAUCAACAAACACCUACGACUAACUUUGCUCGAAUGUUGAAUACAAGUGAAAUCCAAUAGCAAAUAUCAGCAACCAGCAACAGAAAUGAGUAGGAAUCAGAAGCUUGGACAACGACAAACUCAGCAAUUUUCUAUCAAACUCCAUAUUAAAAGAACUCCAUCACAAGCAAGAUUAACCCAGAGAUGAUAUGCAAAGAAAUCGGAUUUUUUUUUUGUAUUUUUGUUCUCUAAUUCUAACAAAGACAGACAGAAUUAAGCACAAAAAGAAACUCGGCCCAUUUUGGGAGUAUUUUCUGUAUUUUCAACGAGAAGAAACAAGGAAGAUGAGAAUCGACAAAAGAAAAUUUCAGAAAAAAACCAGAAGUAUUUUUUUUUCUAAAAUAAAUCUCAUCUGAAUUUCCUUAAAUUCCAAAAAUCCAAAAAAUAUCCCUUCUUCAAAAUCGGAUAUGGUCCUUUAUAAAAUGAACCCCUGAUGAAUGUGGGGCUUGGAUUGAACGAAAUCAAUCAAACGUCUCACACUCAUCCCAUGAAUAGUCUCUAGGACCUUCCAGUCGAGUGCCCUAUCGAGCGAGUGAAGGGUAGGAGAAUCUUUGGUGUCAGAAAUCGUUAGAAAUAGUGAUGAGGAGAGAAGGAGGAACGCGUGAGGAGAGAUUUGAGGCACACUCGCUUGGAUUUGAACUGAAAUUGAGGCUGGGUUCGUGUUCUUCUUUGGAGAAGAAGAACAGUCACCUGGAUUUGGAGAGAUUAGGGCUUUGCCCAUUCUUUUGCGUCUGAUAUUUGGGGCCUGUGGAUUUUAACAAUUAAUUGACUUCCCUUCUCUUUUCUCUUUUUCAUUUUCUAGGUUCCUUCUUUUCUGUUUUUUCUCUUUUUGUUUCAAAAGUAAACUAAUUAAAUCAUAAAAUCAAAUUACCUUAUCAAAAAAUGCAAAGU